This 298-nucleotide unclassified non-coding RNA is filed under the name Hevea brasiliensis (rubber tree). The record is from RNAcentral. Lineage: Eukaryota; Viridiplantae; Streptophyta; Magnoliopsida; Malpighiales; Euphorbiaceae.
ACAACCACCAUAGGAUCACUCUAAGGCAAAGAAACUUAUAUGAGAAGAUUUUGAAAACAGUAAAAAACCUGGAGCAAUUUAACACAAUUUAAUAUAUCAAAAGUUCUGUUAAUGUCCUAGCAUUCAAGUUUAUCUUUAUUUCAUCUCUAUUUUAUCUAUAAAAUUUAUAGCCUAGAAAAGCUCCAAAGGAUGUUCAAGACACGUACAAUAGAAGCAUACAAAAAUAAAAACCUCCAUGUCAGGAGUAUGGUUGUGUUCUUAUAAUGACUUAGCUAAUGUUAUGACUAAGUAGUUAGUG